Molecule: long non-coding RNA, 884 nt
Organism: Oncorhynchus tshawytscha (Chinook salmon)
Lineage: Eukaryota; Metazoa; Chordata; Actinopteri; Salmoniformes; Salmonidae
Source: Ensembl
GUAGAAGUCUGAUGUCCCUUUAUACCACAGGCUGGACAGUCCAUGUCCUUACAACAGGCUGGACAGUCCAUGUCCUUACAACAGGCUGGACAGUCCAUGUCCUUACAACAGGCUGGACAGUCCAUGUCCUUACAACAGCAGGUAGAAGUCUGAUGUCCCUUUAUACCACAGGCUGGACAGUCCAUGUCCUUACAACAGGCUGGACAGUCCAUGUCCUUACAACAGGCUGGACAGUCCAUGUCCUUACAACAGGCUGGACAGUCCAUGUCCUUACAACAGCAGGUAGAAGUCUAAUGUCCCUUUAUACCACAGGCUGGACCAUGUCCUUACAACAGCAGGUAGAAGUCUGAUGUCCCUUUAUACCACAGGCUGGACAGUCCAUGUCCUUACAACAGGCUGGACAGUCCAUGUCCUUACAACAGGCUGGACAGUCCAUGUCCUUACAACAGGCUGGACAGUCCAUGUCCUUACAACAGGCUGGACAGUCCAUGUCCUUACAACAGGAUGGACAGUCCAUGUCCUUACAACAGGCUGGACAGUCCAUGUCCUUACAACAGGCUGGACAGUCCAUGUCCUUACAACAGGCUGGACAGUCCAUGUCCUUACAACAGGCUGGACAGUCCAUGUCCUUACAACAGGCUGGACAGUCCAUGUCCUUACAACAGGCUGGACAGUCCAUGUCCUUACAACAGGAUGGACAGUCCAUGUCCUUACAACAGCAGGUAGAAGUCUGAUGUCCCUUUAUACCACAGGCUGGACAGUCCAUGUCCUUACAACAGGCUGGACAGUCCAUCUCCUUACAACAGGCUGGACAGUCCAUGUCCUUACAACAGGCUGGACAGUCCAUGUCCUUACAACAGCAGGUAGAAGUCUAAUGUCCCUUU